GGAGGAAGGCCCUCCGAGAUGGGUUUGCAGGAACUGGUUUCAAAUCGUCGUAUGCUGCUACAUUAAAGAGGUGUGGUAGUGAGCGAUACGGAAAAGGCAAGUUAAACUGUCAGA
Molecule: non-coding RNA, 114 nt
Filed under: Sphingobacterium alimentarium
Lineage: Bacteria; Pseudomonadati; Bacteroidota; Sphingobacteriia; Sphingobacteriales; Sphingobacteriaceae
Source: RNAcentral